AGGCAGCAGUGGGGAAUAUUGGGCAAUGGCCGAGAGGCUGACCCAGCCAUGCCGCGUGCAGGAUGAAGGCUUUCUGAGUCGUAAACUGCUUUUACCAGGGAAGAAAAAAGGGGAUGCGUCCCCUACUGACGGUACCUGGUGAAUAAGUACCGGCUAACUCCGUGCCAGCAGCCGCGGUAAUACGGAGGGUGCAAGCGUUGUCCGGAUUUAUUGGGUUUAAAGGGUGCGUAGGCGGCCGAUUAAGUCUGGGGUGAAAGCCCGUUGCUCAACAACGGAACUGCCCCGGAAACUGGUUGGCUUGAGUACAGACGAGGGUGGCGGAAUGGACGGUGUAGCGGUGAAAUGCAUAGAUACCGUCCAGAACCCCGAUUGCGAAGGCAGCUGCCUAGACUGUAACUGACGCUGAGGCACGAAAGCGUGGGGAGCGAACAGGAUUAGAUACCCUGGUAGUCCACGCCGUAAACGAUGGAUACUCGCUGCUGGCGAUACAAUGUCAGUGGCUUAGCGAAAGCGUUAAGUAUCCCACCUGGGGAUUACGCUCGCAAGAGUGAAACUCAAAAGAAUUGACGGGGGCCCGCACAAGUGGUGGAGCAUGUGGUUUAAUUCGAUGAUACGCGAGGAACCUUACCUAGGCUAGAAUGCGCGUGACCGGCCCAGAGAUGGGCCUUUCCUUCGGGACACAAAGCAAGGUGCUGCAUGGCCGUCGUCAGCUCGUGCCGUGAGGUGUUGGGUUAAGUCCCGCAACGAGCGCAACCC
Molecule: ribosomal RNA, 756 nt
Filed under: uncultured bacterium
Lineage: Bacteria
Description: bacterial SSU rRNA
Rfam family: Bacterial small subunit ribosomal RNA
Source: RNAcentral